GGGGUUGUGCCUCAGUGGUAGAGUACUCACCUAGCAUGUGUGAGGCCCUGGGUUCGAUCCUCAGCACCA
RNAcentral lists this transfer RNA (69 nucleotides) under Marmota monax (woodchuck). It matches the Rfam family "tRNA". From Rfam's summary of the family: Transfer RNA (tRNA) molecules are approximately 80 nucleotides in length. RNAcentral also lists the same sequence under 3 other names. The record is from Rfam by way of RNAcentral. Lineage: Eukaryota; Metazoa; Chordata; Mammalia; Rodentia; Sciuridae.